This is a long non-coding RNA of Saccostrea cuccullata (small rock oyster), 290 nucleotides long. RefSeq lists it as uncharacterized. NCBI's taxonomy places the organism in Eukaryota, Metazoa, Mollusca, Bivalvia, Ostreida, Ostreidae. The record is from RefSeq and is a predicted model, not a curated record. The transcript has 3 exons.
UUCAGUCAUGUUUUGAUAUUGCAAAUUUCAAAGAGACAAAAAAUGCCCACAAUGCAUUCCUCCAUCAGAUUACCAGAGAGGGAUUGCAGAGUUUACUUCCAAUAAUACAGAGUUGACGUGGAAGAUAGUUGCUGUGGUUUCGAUAGUGUUGAUAUUCAUUUUGAUUGCUUUGGUAAUUUAUAUGAUUCGGAGAAUUAAGAUAAAAGAAAGAAAAAAAGAUUCGAAAAGAAAAAAAGGUGUUGACGACAAGAAUUUGGAAUAUUCAGAACAUCUUUUGACGUAUUAUACAG